Molecule: unclassified non-coding RNA, 545 nt
Filed under: Hevea brasiliensis (rubber tree)
Lineage: Eukaryota; Viridiplantae; Streptophyta; Magnoliopsida; Malpighiales; Euphorbiaceae
Source: RNAcentral
AAUAAAAGAAAGGGAACCCUAAACCCUUUCACCAUCUUCACGUUGCCCCUCCUCUCUUUCAGCAGCUCAGCGUCGCCGCCGCCGACUCUCUCCGGUUCAGUGCCGCCGCUGCUGUAGUUUCUUCCGCUCGUGCCUCCGCAGCCUCCCUCUUAGUGGGUUUGCACUGAUUUUCUACUCUGUUGUUGUUUCUGCAUCAAGGGAGAAGAGAGCUGAUGGUGGAAGUAUGGUGGUCGCUAUUGGGGGCAGCUAUUCCAGCAGUCGUUGCAGGGCAAGCAUACAGAAUGAGGAGGAGGCAUUCUGAGGAACAGAGAAUAAAGACUGCAAGGGGAAGGGAGAAGAAUUCAGAUGAAAUUUUUGUCUGUGAGAGGGUCUGCACAUCAAAGAGAAUGUUGAAAAAGGUAGGGUCUUUCUCGAAAGAUCCGAUUCCCGAUACUUGCGUGACUGUCUGUGGACUAUCUGAACUUGAUGCCUGCACAGAUGCAUGUGCUCGCACCGUUUGUGUGAACCAGCAUCAAGUACCAAACUGGAAUGAUGUUUGUCUUAGG